CAAACGACUCUCGGCAACGGAUAUCUCGGCUCUCGCAUCGAUGAAGAACGUAGCGAAAUGCGAUACUUGGUGUGAAUUGCAGAAUCCCGUGAACCAUCGAGUCUUUGAACGCAAGUUGCGCCCGAAGCCACUAGGCCGANGGCACGUCUGCCUGGGCGUCACGC
Molecule: ribosomal RNA, 164 nt
Filed under: Ancistrocladus tectorius
Lineage: Eukaryota; Viridiplantae; Streptophyta; Magnoliopsida; Caryophyllales; Ancistrocladaceae
Description: 5.8S ribosomal RNA
Rfam family: 5.8S ribosomal RNA
About the family: 5.8S ribosomal RNA (5.8S rRNA) is a component of the large subunit of the eukaryotic ribosome. It is transcribed by RNA polymerase I as part of the 45S precursor that also contains 18S and 28S rRNA.
Source: RNAcentral